CAGCAGCCACGGUAAUACGUAGGGUGCGAGCGUUAAUCGGAAUUAUUGGGCGUAAAGCGGGCGCAGACGGUUACUUAAGCAGGAUGUGAAAUCCCCGGGCUCAACCUGGGAACUGCGUUCUGAACUGGGUGACUAGAGUGUGUCAGAGGGAGGUAGAAUUCCACGUGUAGCAGUGAAAUGCGUAGAGAUGUGGAGGAAUACCGAUGGCGAAGGCAGCCUCCUGGGAUAACACUGACGUUCAUGCCCGAAAGCGUGGGUAGCAAACAGGAUUAGAUACCCGAGUAGUCCCUGUCUCUUAUAC
This 301-nucleotide ribosomal RNA is filed under the name uncultured bacterium. RNAcentral's name for it is "partial 16S ribosomal RNA". It matches the Rfam family "Bacterial small subunit ribosomal RNA", at positions 509 to 807 of the family's 1533-position model. The record is from RNAcentral.